RNAcentral lists this ribosomal RNA (261 nucleotides) under uncultured archaeon. RNAcentral describes it as "partial 16S ribosomal RNA". It matches the Rfam family "Archaeal small subunit ribosomal RNA", at positions 748 to 1009 of the family's 1478-position model. The record is from RNAcentral.
UAGCCGUAAACGAUACUCGCUAGGUGUCGGCCACGGUGCGACCGUUGUCGGUGCCGUAGGGAAGCCGUGAAGCGAGCCACCUGGGAAGUACGGCCGCAAAGCUGGAACUUAAAGGAAUUGGCGGGGGAGCACCACAACGGGUGGAGCUUGCGGUUUAAUUGGAUUCAACGCCGGAAAUCUUACCGGGACCGACAGCAACAUGAAGGCCAGGCUGAAGACUUUGCCGGAUUAGCUGAGAGGAGGUGCAUGGCGUAGUCGUGU